GACGAACGCUGGCGGCGUGCCUAAUACAUGCAAGUAGAACGCUGAAGACUUUAGCUUGCUAAAGUUGGAAGAGUUGCGAACGGGUGAGUAACGCGUAGGUAACCUGCCUACUAGCGGGGGAUAACUAUUGGAAACGAUAGCUAAUACCGCAUAACAGCAUUUAACCCAUGUUAGAUGCUUGAAAGGAGCAAUUGCUUCACUAGUAGAUGGACCUGCGUUGUAUUAGCUAGUUGGUGAGGUAACGGCUCACCAAGGCGACAAUACAUAGCCGACCUGAGAGGGUGAUCGGCCACACUGGGACUGAGACACGGCCCAGACUCCUACGGGAGGCAGCAGUAGGGAAUCUUCGGCAAUGGGGGCAACCCUGACCGAGCAACGCCGCGUGAGUGAAGAAGGUUUUCGGAUCGUAAAGCUCUGUUGUAAGAGAAGAACGUGUGUGAGAGUGGAAAGUUCACACAGUGACGGUAACUAC
Molecule: ribosomal RNA, 472 nt
Filed under: uncultured bacterium
Lineage: Bacteria
Description: bacterial SSU rRNA
Rfam family: Bacterial small subunit ribosomal RNA
Source: RNAcentral